Molecule: ribosomal RNA, 624 nt
Filed under: Listeria monocytogenes
Lineage: Bacteria; Bacillati; Bacillota; Bacilli; Caryophanales; Listeriaceae
Description: bacterial SSU rRNA
Rfam family: Bacterial small subunit ribosomal RNA
Source: RNAcentral
AUACCGAAUGAUAAAGUGUGGCGCAUGCCACGCUUUUGAAAGAUGGUUUCGGCUAUCGCUUACAGAUGGGCCCGCGGUGCAUUAGCUAGUUGGUAGGGUAAUGGCCUACCAAGGCAACGAUGCAUAGCCGACCUGAGAGGGUGAUCGGCCACACUGGGACUGAGACACGGCCCAGACUCCUACGGGAGGCAGCAGUAGGGAAUCUUCCGCAAUGGACGAAAGUCUGACGGAGCAACGCCGCGUGUAUGAAGAAGGUUUUCGGAUCGUAAAGUACUGUUGUUAGAGAAGAACAAGGAUAAGAGUAACUGCUUGUCCCUUGACGGUAUCUAACCAGAAAGCCACGGCUAACUACGUGCCAGCAGCCGCGGUAAUACGUAGGUGGCAAGCGUUGUCCGGAUUUAUUGGGCGUAAAGCGCGCGCAGGCGGUCUUUUAAGUCUGAUGUGAAAGCCCCCGGCUUAACCGGGGAGGGUCAUUGGAAACUGGAAGACUGGAGUGCAGAAGAGGAGAGUGGAAUUCCACGUGUAGCGGUGAAAUGCGUAGAUAUGUGGAGGAACACCAGUGGCGAAGGCGACUCUCUGGUCUGUAACUGACGCUGAGGCGCGAAAGCGUGGGGAGCAAACAGG